This 253-nucleotide ribosomal RNA is filed under the name uncultured bacterium. RNAcentral describes it as "partial 16S ribosomal RNA". It matches the Rfam family "Bacterial small subunit ribosomal RNA", at positions 524 to 776 of the family's 1533-position model. The record is from RNAcentral.
CACGUAGGAGGCGAGCGUUGUCCGGAAUCAUUGGGCGUAAAGAGCGCGCAGGCGGCUUGGCAAGUCGGGUGUGAAAUCCCGGGGCUCAACCCCGGGACUGCAUUCGAUACUGUCAGGCUAGAGGUAGGUAGGGGAGAUCGGAAUUCCUGGUGUAGCGGUGAAAUGUGUAGAGAUCGGGAGGAACACCGGUGGCGAAGGCGGGUCUCUGGGCAUCUCCUGACGCUGAGGCGCGAAAGCGUGGGGAGCAAACGGG